Molecule: ribosomal RNA, 426 nt
Filed under: uncultured bacterium
Lineage: Bacteria
Description: bacterial SSU rRNA
Rfam family: Bacterial small subunit ribosomal RNA
Source: RNAcentral
GGGGAAUAUUGCACAAUGGGCGCAAGCCUGAUGCAGCCAUGCCGCGUGUGUGAAGAAGGCCUUUUGGUUGUAAAGCACUUUAAGCGAGGAGGAGGCUACUCUAGUUAAUACCUAGGGAUAGUGGACGUUACUCGCAGAAUAAGCACCGGCUAACUCUGUGCCAGCAGCCGCGGUAAUACAGAGGGUGCGAGCGUUAAUCGGAUUUACUGGGCGUAAAGCGUGCGUAGGCGGCUUUUUAAGUCGGAGGUGAAAUCCCUGAGCUUAACUUAGGAAUUGCAUUCGAUACUGGGAAGCUAGAGUAUGGGAGAGGAUGGUAGAAUUCCAGGUGUAGCGGUGAAAUGCGUAGAGAUCUGGAGGAAUACCGAUGGCGAAGGCAGCCAUCUGGCCUAAUACUGACGCUGAGGUACGAAAGCAUGGGGAGCAAAC